AUACUUACUUAGCAGGGGACGACACCAUGAUCAUGAAGGUGGUUCACCCAGGGUGAGGCUCAGCCAUUGCACUUCGGUUGCGCUGACCCUUGCGAAUUCCCCAAAUGCAAGAAUCUCGACUGCAUAAUUUCUGGUAGUAGGGGACUGCAUUCGCACUCUCCCCUG
Molecule: small nuclear RNA, 165 nt
Organism: Colossoma macropomum (tambaqui)
Lineage: Eukaryota; Metazoa; Chordata; Actinopteri; Characiformes; Serrasalmidae
Product: U1 spliceosomal RNA
Exons: 1
Source: RefSeq, a predicted model, not a curated record